GGCGAACGGGUGAGUAAUACGUGAGUAACCUGCCCCCUUCUUUGGGAUAAGCCUGGGAAACUGGGUCUAAUACUGAAUAUUCUGCGUCUGCCGCAUGGUGGGUGUUGGAAAGGUUUUUUCUGGUGGGGGAUGGGCUCGCGGCCUAUCAGCUUGUUGGUGGGGUGAUGGCCUACCAAGGCGUCGACGGGUAGCCGGCCUGAGAGGGUGACCGGCCACAUUGGGACUGAGAUACGGCCCAGACUCCUACGGGAGGCAGCAGUGGGGAAUAUUGCACAAUGGACGCAAGUCUGAUGCAGCGACGCCGCGUGGGGGAUGAAGGCUUUCGGGUUGUAAACUCCUUUUAACACUGAAGAAGCGUUGAGUGACGGUAGGUGUUGAAUAAGCGCCGGCUAACUACGUGCCAGCAGCCGCGGUAAUACGUAGGGCGCGAGCGUUGUCCGGAAUCACUGG
RNAcentral lists this ribosomal RNA (450 nucleotides) under Arcanobacterium sp. ZT11003002. RNAcentral describes it as "bacterial SSU rRNA". It matches the Rfam family "Bacterial small subunit ribosomal RNA", at positions 97 to 557 of the family's 1533-position model. Lineage: Bacteria; Bacillati; Actinomycetota; Actinomycetes; Actinomycetales; Actinomycetaceae. The record is from RNAcentral.